GCGGGUGUGGCGGAAUAGGUAGACGCGCGGGUCUCAAACACCCGUUCCUUUUGGAGUGCCGGUUCGAUUCCGGCCACCCGCACCA
This 85-nucleotide transfer RNA is filed under the name Alphaproteobacteria bacterium. RNAcentral's name for it is "tRNA-Leu". It matches the Rfam family "tRNA". Rfam says of the family: Transfer RNA (tRNA) molecules are approximately 80 nucleotides in length. Their secondary structure includes four short double-helical elements and three loops (D, anti-codon, and T loops). Lineage: Bacteria; Pseudomonadati; Pseudomonadota; Alphaproteobacteria. RNAcentral also lists the same sequence under 1 other name. The record is from RNAcentral.